This 232-nucleotide long non-coding RNA is filed under the name Capsicum annuum. RNAcentral's name for it is "long non-coding RNA (CANN_LNC007996)". The record is from RNAcentral. Lineage: Eukaryota; Viridiplantae; Streptophyta; Magnoliopsida; Solanales; Solanaceae.
ACCGGAAUAGUUCUUGGAGGAAUUGAAAAUCCACUAAAGUUUGCACCUUUUUCCCACAAUGUCCUGCUUCUUAACCUCACUAAUGAGAGUUUCAUUCUUGCUAGACUUGAAGGAACACUAGCAUUGUAUAAAGAUCCAGUAUGUUGAUGAACCAAACUCUUGAAAGCGUGUUCAUGAAGAAUAACUUCUAAUGACUUUGUAAGGCUGUUAUUAUGAGAACAUUGAACAAGAA